CCAAUAGCGUAUAUUAAAGUUGUUGCAGUUAAAAAGCUCGUAGUUGAACUUCGGGGUUCACCCAUUGGUCAGGCUUAAUUGUCUGCACUGGUGAGAUGAGUCUCUACCUUCUGAGGAACUUUCAUGCCAUUUAUUUGGUGUGGUUGGAAAUCAGGACUGUUACUUUGAAAAAAUUAGAGUGUUUAAAGCAGGCUAACGUCUGAAUACAUUAGCAUGGAAUAAUGAAAUAGGACGGACUGAUUCUAUUUCGUUGGUUUCUAGGAUCACCGUAAUGAUUAAUAGGGAUAGUUGGGGGGAUUAAUAUUCAAUUGUCCAAGGUGAAAUUCUUGGAUUUUUUGAAGGCUAACUACUGCGAAAGCCUUUGCCAAGGAUGUUUUCAUUAAUCAAGAACGAAAGUUAGGGGAUCGAAGACGAUCAGAUACCGUCGUAGUCUUAACCAUAAACUAUGCCGACUAGGGAUCGGACGAAGUUAAUUUUAUAAUGACGCGUUCGGCACCUUACG
RNAcentral lists this ribosomal RNA (502 nucleotides) under uncultured Glomeromycotina. RNAcentral's name for it is "partial small subunit ribosomal RNA". It matches the Rfam family "Eukaryotic small subunit ribosomal RNA", at positions 591 to 1092 of the family's 1831-position model. Lineage: Eukaryota; Fungi; Glomeromycota. The record is from RNAcentral.